This is a long non-coding RNA of Aethalodelphis obliquidens (Pacific white-sided dolphin), 1022 nucleotides long. RefSeq lists it as uncharacterized. Lineage: Eukaryota; Metazoa; Chordata; Mammalia; Artiodactyla; Delphinidae. The record is from RefSeq and is a predicted model, not a curated record. The transcript is spliced from 3 exons.
CUGGCACGCCUCGGCGCCCCCUAGUGGCCACAUCUGGGGAGAAGCCCGUUUCUCCCUGGACCUCCUGCGAAAGUUUGCUCAACCGACUGGCUUGGCUUCCGCAAACCUCAGCAAUGCUUCCAGCCACUAGGAGUGAAGAGUCUGGAGGACCCCCACCUCGUUGAGGGCGUCAGGGGAGGCUUCUGGGAGGAGGCGAUGUUUGUGCUGAGAGAAUGGUUUCAAGCCCACCUGUUGAAGGCAGUGUGUCCCUCUGUGAGUGGCUGAGGGUCCACCAUGGAUGGCCGGGCAUCUGGCUGUGGCUGACUCAGGCCCCAGAAAGAGCAGGGCAUAUAUAAGUGGUCCCUGAUCUGUGGGAAAACCUCAUCAGCCAGGUGGGUUCGUCCUGCUCUUCUGAGGGGCUGAGCUUGAUGCUCUCCCAUCAGCCCUGUGCUUGGAGGGUCGGGCAGACGCUGUGCUGUAGGACUCAGCAUCCCGGGGAGGAAGGGUGACCCUGCUCUGAUUCCACUGCCCCCAGAAUGGUAGAAGCUUGCCCAGUGUUGGUGCCUUGGCAACUUGAGGUGAGUUGGGGGGGGCGUAGAGGGCAGGGGGUAGGAGAACUUGUCCCUCACAACUCUCCCUGUCCCUCUUGCUUGCCCUGGGUCUGCUCCUCUCACACCCCCAGCCCAUCGGUCCUCAUGGAUCAGGUGGACACCUCAGAGGUCGGGGAGCUUGGGGAUGGAGCCACAUGGGUGGGAGAAGAAUCCUGACCCCAGGGGGGACUGGGAUGGAGGGGAGGAGUCUUCUGUGGAGCUGAAGAAGGUCCCUUCCCAGUACCGUUCCUGUGGAAUCCUCAAAAGAAUGUGGGUCUCCUUCUCUAUGUAUGUAUAACGGAAUCACUUCACUGUACACCUGAAACUAACACAACAUUGUAUAUCAGUUAUAUUUCAAUAAAUUUUUUUUAAAAAAGAAUGUGGGUCUCAUGGGAGCAUCAGGGGACCCCAAGCUGAGACCCUGCUGACCUCAUCACCUUUACCCUCAGAGAU